CUACGGAGGAUCCGAGCGUUAUCCGGAUUUAUUGGGUUUAAAGGGUGCGCAGGCGGCCAUUUAAGUCAGCGGUUAAAUCGUGGGGCUCAACCCCAUUCUGCCGUUGAUACUGGGUGGCUUGAUUGCGGUCGAGGUUGGCGGAAUUCGUUGUGGAGCGGUGAAAUGCAUAGAUAUGACGAAGAACACCGAUUGCGUAGGCAGCUGACCAGACCGCAAAUGACGCUCAUGCACGAAAGUGCGGGGAUCGAACAGGAUUAGAUACCCUGGUAGUCCGCACAGUAAACGAUGAAUACUUGUUUUCGGCGAUAUAAUGUCGGAGGCAAAGCGAAAGCGAUAAGUAUUCCACCUGGGGAGUACGCCGGCAACGGUGAAACUCAAAGGAAUUGACGGG
This 391-nucleotide ribosomal RNA is filed under the name uncultured bacterium. Its description in RNAcentral is "partial 16S ribosomal RNA". It matches the Rfam family "Bacterial small subunit ribosomal RNA", at positions 523 to 917 of the family's 1533-position model. The record is from RNAcentral.